GCUGGGUGUGGUGGUGCAUGCCUGUAAUCCCAGCAGCUCAGGAGGCUGAGGCGCGAGAAUUGGGAGUUCAAAGUCAGCCUCAGCAAAAGCGAGGUGCUAAGCAACUCUGUGAGACCCUGUCUCUA
This 125-nucleotide small RNA is filed under the name Marmota monax (woodchuck). Lineage: Eukaryota; Metazoa; Chordata; Mammalia; Rodentia; Sciuridae. The record is from RNAcentral.